Molecule: ribosomal RNA, 446 nt
Filed under: uncultured bacterium
Lineage: Bacteria
Description: bacterial SSU rRNA
Rfam family: Bacterial small subunit ribosomal RNA
Source: RNAcentral
GCCAGACUCCUACGGGAGGCAGCAGUGGGGGAUAUUGCACAAUGGGGGAAACCCUGAUGCAGCGACGCCGCGUGAGUGAAGAAGUAUUUCGGUAUGUAAAGCUCUAUCAGCAGGGAAGAAAAAAGACGGUACCUGACUAAGAAGCCCCGGCUAACUACGUGCCAGCAGCCGCGGUAAUACGUAGGGGGCAAGCGUUAUCCGGAUUUACUGGGUGUAAAGGGAGCGUAGACGGCAAUACAAGUCGGAAGUGAAAUACCCGGGCUUAACCUGGGAACUGCUUUGGAAACUGUAUGGCUGGAGUGCUGGAGAGGUAAGCGGAAUUCCUAGUGUAGCGGUGAAAUGCGUAGAUAUUAGGAGGAACACCAGUGGCGAAGGCGGCUUACUGGACUGUAACUGACGUUGAGGCUCGAAAGCGUGGGGAGCAAACAGGAUUAGAUACCCCAGUA